UACGGGGGGAGCAAGCGUUGGUUCGGAUUUACUGGGCGUAAAGGGCGCGGUAGGCGGUCGUGACAAGUCACUUGUGAAAUCUCCGGGCUUAACUCGGAACGGUCAAGUGAUACUGUCGGACUAGAGUACAGAAGGGGCAACUGGAAUUCCCGGUGUAGCGGUGGAAUGCGUAGAGAUCGGGAAGAACAUCAGUGGCGAAGGCGGCCUGCUGGGCUGUUGCUGACGCUGAGGCGCGACAGCGGUGGGGAGCAAACAGG
Molecule: ribosomal RNA, 257 nt
Filed under: uncultured bacterium
Lineage: Bacteria
Description: partial 16S ribosomal RNA
Rfam family: Bacterial small subunit ribosomal RNA
Source: RNAcentral